RNAcentral lists this transfer RNA (59 nucleotides) under Otolemur garnettii (small-eared galago). It matches the Rfam family "tRNA", at positions 8 to 63 of the family's 71-position model. From Rfam's summary of the family: Transfer RNA (tRNA) molecules are approximately 80 nucleotides in length. Their secondary structure includes four short double-helical elements and three loops (D, anti-codon, and T loops). Further hydrogen bonds mediate the characteristic L-shaped molecular structure. tRNAs have two regions of fundamental functional importance: the anti-codon, which is responsible for specific mRNA codon recognition, and the 3' end, to which the tRNAs corresponding amino acid is attached (by aminoacyl-tRNA synthetases). tRNAs cope with the degeneracy of the genetic code in two manners: having more than one tRNA (with a specific anti-codon) for a particular amino acid; and 'wobble' base-pairing, i.e. permitting non-standard base-pairing at the 3rd anti-codon position. The record is from Rfam by way of RNAcentral. Lineage: Eukaryota; Metazoa; Chordata; Mammalia; Primates; Galagidae.
UGGCUCAAAAGGGUAGGGCACUGGCCCCAUAUGCCAGAGGUGCUGGGUUCAAAUCCAGC